GACGAACGCUGGCGGCGUGCCUAAUACAUGCAAGUAGAACGCACAGUUUAUACCGUAGCUUGCUACACCAUAGACUGUGAGUUGCGAACGGGUGAGUAAUGCGUAGGUAACCUGCCUGGUAGCGGGGGAGAAAAAUUGGACACGAAAGCUAUAACAGCAUAAUAUUAAUUAUUGAAUGAUAAUUAAUGGAAAGGUGGAAUCGUAUAAAUACCAGAUGGACCUACGUUGUAUUAGCUAGUAGGGGAGGUAACGGAUCAACCAGGCGACGAUACAUAGGCGAACUGGGAGGGUGGACGGCCACCCUGGGACUGGGACACGGCCCAGACUCCUACGGGAAGCAGCAGGAGGGAAACUUCGGGAAUUGGCGGAAAUCUUACCGAAGAACGCCGCGGGGGGGGAGAAAGGUUUCGGAUCGGAAAGCUCUUUUUUAAGGGGAGAACGAGAUUGAGAAGGGAAAGUUCACGCUGUGACGGUAUCUUACCAGAAAGGGACGGCUAACUACGUG
RNAcentral lists this ribosomal RNA (505 nucleotides) under uncultured bacterium. Its description in RNAcentral is "partial 16S ribosomal RNA". It matches the Rfam family "Bacterial small subunit ribosomal RNA", at positions 28 to 507 of the family's 1533-position model. The record is from RNAcentral.